RNAcentral lists this ribosomal RNA (2919 nucleotides) under Bacillus anthracis str. Turkey32. Its description in RNAcentral is "bacterial LSU rRNA". It matches the Rfam family "Bacterial large subunit ribosomal RNA". The record is from RNAcentral. Lineage: Bacteria; Bacillati; Bacillota; Bacilli; Caryophanales; Bacillaceae.
UUAAGUUAGAAAGGGCGCACGGUGGAUGCCUUGACACUAGGAGUCGAUGAAGGACGGGACUAACGCCGAUAUGCUUCGGGGAGCUGUAAGUAAGCUUUGAUCCGAAGAUUUCCGAAUGGGGAAACCCACCAUACGUAAUGGUAUGGUAUCCUUAUCUGAAUACAUAGGAUAAGGAAGACAGACCCAGGGAACUGAAACAUCUAAGUACCUGGAGGAAGAGAAAGCAAAUGCGAUUUCCUGAGUAGCGGCGAGCGAAACGGAACAUAGCCCAAACCAAGAGGCUUGCCUCUUGGGGUUGUAGGACAUUCUAUACGGAGUUACAAAGGAACGAGGUAGACGAAGCGACCUGGAAAGGUCCGUCGUAGAGGGUAACAACCCCGUAGUCGAAACUUCGUUCUCUCUUGAAUGUAUCCUGAGUACGGCGGAACACGUGAAAUUCCGUCGGAAUCUGGGAGGACCAUCUCCCAAGGCUAAAUACUCCCUAGUGAUCGAUAGUGAACCAGUACCGUGAGGGAAAGGUGAAAAGCACCCCGGAAGGGAGUGAAAGAGAUCCUGAAACCGUGUGCCUACAAAUAGUCAGAGCCCGUUAACGGGUGAUGGCGUGCCUUUUGUAGAAUGAACCGGCGAGUUACGAUCCCGUGCGAGGUUAAGCUGAAGAGGCGGAGCCGCAGCGAAAGCGAGUCUGAAUAGGGCGUUUAGUACGUGGUCGUAGACCCGAAACCAGGUGAUCUACCCAUGUCCAGGGUGAAGUUCAGGUAACACUGAAUGGAGGCCCGAACCCACGCACGUUGAAAAGUGCGGGGAUGAGGUGUGGGUAGCGGAGAAAUUCCAAUCGAACCUGGAGAUAGCUGGUUCUCCCCGAAAUAGCUUUAGGGCUAGCCUUAAGUGUAAGAGUCUUGGAGGUAGAGCACUGAUUGGACUAGGGGUCCUCAUCGGAUUACCGAAUUCAGUCAAACUCCGAAUGCCAAUGACUUAUCCUUAGGAGUCAGACUGCGAGUGAUAAGAUCCGUAGUCAAAAGGGAAACAGCCCAGACCGCCAGCUAAGGUCCCAAAGUGUGUAUUAAGUGGAAAAGGAUGUGGAGUUGCUUAGACAACUAGGAUGUUGGCUUAGAAGCAGCCACCAUUUAAAGAGUGCGUAAUAGCUCACUAGUCGAGUGACUCUGCGCCGAAAAUGUACCGGGGCUAAAUACACCACCGAAGCUGCGGAUUGAUACCAAUGGUAUCAGUGGUAGGGGAGCGUUCUAAGGACAGUGAAGUCAGACCGGAAGGACUGGUGGAGUGCUUAGAAGUGAGAAUGCCGGUAUGAGUAGCGAAAGACGGGUGAGAAUCCCGUCCACCGAAUGCCUAAGGUUUCCUGAGGAAGGCUCGUCCGCUCAGGGUUAGUCAGGACCUAAGCCGAGGCCGACAGGCGUAGGCGAUGGACAACAGGUUGAUAUUCCUGUACCACCUCUUUAUCGUUUGAGCAAUGGAGGGACGCAGAAGGAUAGAAGAAGCGUGCGAUUGGUUGUGCACGUCCAAGCAGUUAGGCUGAUAAGUAGGCAAAUCCGCUUAUCGUGAAGGCUGAGCUGUGAUGGGGAAGCUCCUUAUGGAGCGAAGUCUUUGAUUCCCCGCUGCCAAGAAAAGCUUCUAGCGAGAUAAAAGGUGCCUGUACCGCAAACCGACACAGGUAGGCGAGGAGAGAAUCCUAAGGUGUGCGAGAGAACUCUGGUUAAGGAACUCGGCAAAAUGACCCCGUAACUUCGGGAGAAGGGGUGCUUUCUUAACGGAAAGCCGCAGUGAAUAGGCCCAAGCGACUGUUUAGCAAAAACACAGCUCUCUGCGAAGCCGUAAGGCGAAGUAUGGGGGGUGACACCUGCCCGGUGCUGGAAGGUUAAGGAGAGGGGUUAGCGUAAGCGAAGCUCUGAACUGAAGCCCCAGUAAACGGCGGCCGUAACUAUAACGGUCCUAAGGUAGCGAAAUUCCUUGUCGGGUAAGUUCCGACCCGCACGAAAGGUGUAACGAUUUGGGCACUGUCUCAACCAGAGACUCGGUGAAAUUAUAGUACCUGUGAAGAUGCAGGUUACCCGCGACAGGACGGAAAGACCCCGUGGAGCUUUACUGUAGCCUGAUAUUGAAUUUUGGUACAGUUUGUACAGGAUAGGCGGGAGCCUUUGAAACCGGAGCGCUAGCUUCGGUGGAGGCGCUGGUGGGAUACCGCCCUGACUGUAUUGAAAUUCUAACCUACGGGUCUUAUCGACCCGGGAGACAGUGUCAGGUGGGCAGUUUGACUGGGGCGGUCGCCUCCUAAAGUGUAACGGAGGCGCCCAAAGGUUCCCUCAGAAUGGUUGGAAAUCAUUCGUAGAGUGCAAAGGCAUAAGGGAGCUUGACUGCGAGACCUACAAGUCGAGCAGGGACGAAAGUCGGGCUUAGUGAUCCGGUGGUUCCGCAUGGAAGGGCCAUCGCUCAACGGAUAAAAGCUACCCCGGGGAUAACAGGCUUAUCUCCCCCAAGAGUCCACAUCGACGGGGAGGUUUGGCACCUCGAUGUCGGCUCAUCGCAUCCUGGGGCUGUAGUCGGUCCCAAGGGUUGGGCUGUUCGCCCAUUAAAGCGGUACGCGAGCUGGGUUCAGAACGUCGUGAGACAGUUCGGUCCCUAUCCGUCGUGGGCGUAGGAAAUUUGAGAGGAGCUGUCCUUAGUACGAGAGGACCGGGAUGGACGCACCGCUGGUGUACCAGUUGUUCUGCCAAGGGCAUAGCUGGGUAGCUAUGUGCGGAAGGGAUAAGUGCUGAAAGCAUCUAAGCAUGAAGCCCCCCUCAAGAUGAGAUUUCCCAUAGCGUAAGCUAGUAAGAUCCCUGAAAGAUGAUCAGGUUGAUAGGUUCGAGGUGGAAGCAUGGUGACAUGUGGAGCUGACGAAUACUAAUAGAUCGAGGACUUAACCAU